GUACCAGAUCAAUGUGGAGCUAUAUACAGGGAGUACCAGAUCAAUGUGGAGCUAUAUACAGGAAGUACCAGAUCAAUGUGGAGCUAUAUACAGGGAGUACCAGAUCAAUGUGGAGCUAUAUACAGGAAGUACCAGUACCAGAUCAAUGUGGAUCUAUAUACAGGAAGUACCAGAUCAAUGUGGAGCUAUAUACAGGGAGAACCAGUACCAGAUCAAUGUGGAGCUAUAUACAGGAAGUACCAGAUCAAUGUGGAGCUAUAUACAGGAAGUACCAGAUCAAUGUGGAGCUAUAUACAGGAAGUACCAGUACCAGAUCACUGUGUAGGGGUAUGAGGUAUUUGAGGUAGAUAUGUACAUGAAGGCAGGGUAAAGCGACUAGACAUCGGGAUAGAUAAUAAUAAGGUAUUUGAAGUAGAUAUGUACGUGAAGGCAGGUUAAAGUGACUAGGCAUCAGGAUAGAUACAAGUGAUGAUGCAGCCGGUCAGGAUGCUCUCAAUGGUGCAGCUGUAGAACCCUUUGAGGAUCUGAGGACCCAUGCCAAAUCUUUUCAGUCUCCUGAGGGGGAAAAGAU
RNAcentral lists this long non-coding RNA (571 nucleotides) under Salmo salar (Atlantic salmon). RNAcentral's name for it is "lncRNA (ENSSSAG00000093187.1)". The record is from RNAcentral. Lineage: Eukaryota; Metazoa; Chordata; Actinopteri; Salmoniformes; Salmonidae.